Vibrio sp. is the source of this 183-nucleotide non-coding RNA. Lineage: Bacteria; Pseudomonadati; Pseudomonadota; Gammaproteobacteria; Vibrionales; Vibrionaceae. The record is from Rfam.
UGUUGCCGUAGAGGCGCGGUCUCGAAGAGUAGCUAUUAUUGGGGUGAUGCCAAUGAAUAAUAGUGGAAGGCGAAGAUUGCCGAAGUAAGUAACUCAUCAAAGUUACUUGCUGGGGUUGUAUCUGAAAGGAACAACACUGCCAUAGUAUAUAUUCACAUUAAACUAUGGAGCGCUACUGUAGGG